GACGAACGCUGGCGGCGUGCCUAAUACAUGCAAGUCGAGCGAACGGACGAGAAGCUUGCUUCUCUGAUGUUAGCCGCAGACGGGUGAGUAACACGUGGAUAACCUACCUAUAAGUCUGGGAUAACUUCGGGACACCGGAGCUAAUACCGGAUAAUAUCUUGCACCGCAUUGUUCAAUAGAGAAAGACGGUCUUGCGGUAACUUAUAGAUGGAUCCGCGCUGCUUUGGCUAGUUGGUAAGGUAACGGCUUAUCAAGGCAACGAGGCAUAGCCGACCUGACAGGGUGAUCGGCCACACUAGAGCUGGACCGCGGACAAGACUACUACGAGAGGCAGCAGUAGGGUAUCGUCCGCAGUGGGCGAGAGUCUGACGGAGCGGCGCGGCGUGAGUGAUGACGGUGUUCGGAGCGUAAUACUCUGUUAUGAGUGAAAAACAUAUGUGUAAGUAACUGUGCACAUCUUGACGGUAACUAAUCAGAAAGCCACGGCUAACUACGUG
This 497-nucleotide ribosomal RNA is filed under the name uncultured bacterium. RNAcentral describes it as "partial 16S ribosomal RNA". It matches the Rfam family "Bacterial small subunit ribosomal RNA", at positions 28 to 507 of the family's 1533-position model. The record is from RNAcentral.